This 1371-nucleotide ribosomal RNA is filed under the name uncultured bacterium. RNAcentral describes it as "bacterial SSU rRNA". It matches the Rfam family "Bacterial small subunit ribosomal RNA", at positions 28 to 1381 of the family's 1533-position model. The record is from RNAcentral.
GAUGAACGCUGGCGGCGUGCCUAAUACAUGCAAGUCGAGCGAACGGACGAGAAGCUUGCUUCUCUGAUGUUAGCGGCGGACGGGUGAGUAACACGUGGAUAACCUACCUAUAAGACUGGGAUAACUUCGGGAAACCGUAGCUAAUACCGGAUAAUAUUUUGAACCGCAUGGUUCAAAAGUGAAAGACGGUCUUGCUGUCACUUAUAGAUGGAUCCGCGCUGCAUUAGCUAGUUGGUAAGGUAACGGCUUACCAAGGCAACGAUGCAUAGCCGACCUGAGAGGGUGAUCGGCCACACUGGAACUGAGACACGGUCCAGACUCCUACGGGAGGCAGCAGUAGGGAAUCUUCCGCAAUGGGCGAAAGCCUGACGGAGCAACGCCGCAUGAGUGAUGAAGGUCUUCGGAUCGUAAAACUCUGUUAUUAGGGAAGAACAUAUGUGUAAGUAACUGUGCACAUCUUGACGGUACCUAAUCAGAAAGCCACGGCUAACUACGUGCCAGCAGCCGCGGUAAUACGUAGGUGGCAAGCGUUAUCUGGAAUUAUUGGGCGUAAAGCGCGCGUAGGCGGUUUUUUAGUCUGAUGUGAAAGCCCACGGCUCAACCGUGGAGGGUCAUUGGAAACUGGAAAACUUGAGUGCAGAAGAGGAAAGUGGAAUUCCAUGUGUAGCGGUGAAAUGCGCAGAGAUAUGGAGGAACACCAGUGGCGAAGGCGACUUUCUGGUCUGUAACUGACGCUGAUGUGCGAAAGCGUGGGGAUCAAACAGGAUUAGAUACCCUGGUAGUCCACGCCGUAAACGAUGAGUGCUAAGUGUUAGGGGGUUUCCGCCCCUUAGUGCUGCAGCUAACGCAUUAAGCACUCCGCCUGGGGAGUACGACCGCAAGGUUGAAACUCAAAGGAAUUGACGGGGACCCGCACAAGCGGUGGAGCAUGUGGUUUAAUUCGAAGCAACGCGAAGAACCUUACCAAAUCUUGACAUCCUUUGACAACUCUAGAGAUAGAGCCUUCCCCUUCGGGGGACAAAGUGACAGGUGGUGCAUGGUUGUCGUCAGCUCGUGUCGUGAGAUGUUGGGUUAAGUCCCGCAACGAGCGCAACCCUUAAGCUUAGUUGCCAUCAUUAAGUUGGGCACUCUAAGUUGACUGCCGGUGACAAACCGGAGGAAGGUGGGGAUGACGUCAAAUCAUCAUGCCCCUUAUGAUUUGGGCUACACACGUGCUACAAUGGACAAUACAAAGGGCAGCGAAACCGCGAGGUCAAGCAAAUCCCAUAAAGUUGUUCUCAGUUCGGAUUGUAGUCUGCAACUCGACUACAUGAAGCUGGAAUCGCUAGUAAUCGUAGAUCAGCAUGCUACGGUGAAUACGUUCCCGGGUCU